RNAcentral lists this unclassified non-coding RNA (303 nucleotides) under plant metagenome. Its description in RNAcentral is "partial contains 5.8S ribosomal RNA, internal transcribed spacer 2, and large subunit ribosomal RNA". The stretch from base 1 to 105 matches the Rfam family "5.8S ribosomal RNA", at positions 50 to 154 of the family's 154-position model. The record is from RNAcentral.
GAAAUGCGAUAAGUAGUGUGAAUUGCAGAAUUCAGUGAAUCAUCGAAUCUUUGAACGCACAUUGCGCCCUUUGGUAUUCCUCAGGGCAUGCCUGUUCGAGCGUCAUUUAAACCUUCAAGCUCAGCUUGGUGAUGGGUGACUGUCCUCCCCUCGCGGGGGGGACUCGCCUCAAAAACAUUGGCGGCCGGUACAUUGGCUUCGAGCGCAGCAGAAACGCGGUCUCGAGUCCGGUGGAUCGGCUCCCAUAAGCCUUCUUUUUUAUUUUGACCUCGGAUCAGGUAGGGAUACCCGCUGAACUUAAGC